Molecule: ribosomal RNA, 497 nt
Filed under: uncultured bacterium
Lineage: Bacteria
Description: partial 16S ribosomal RNA
Rfam family: Bacterial small subunit ribosomal RNA
Source: RNAcentral
GAUGAACGCUGGCGGCGUGCCUAAUACAUGCAAGUCGAGCGAACGGACGAGAAGCUUGCUUCUCUGAUGUUAGCGGCGGACGGGUGAGUAACACGUGGAAAACCUACCUAUAAGACUGGGAUAACUUCGGGAAACCGGAGCUAAUACCGGAUGAUAUUUUGAACCGCAUGGUUCAAAAGUGAAAGACGGUCUUGCUGUCACUUAUAGAUGGAUCCGCGCUGCAUUAGCUAGUUGGUAAGGUAACGGCUUACCAAGGCAACGAUGCAUAGCCGACCGGAGAGGGUGAUAGGCCACACUGGAACUGAGACACGGUCCAGACGCCUACGGGAGGCAGCAGUAGGGAAUCUUCCGCAAUGGGCGAAAGCCUGACGGAGCAACGCCGCGUGAGUGAUGAAGGUCUUCGGAUCGUAAAACUCUGUUAUUAGGGAAGAACAUAUGUGUAAGUAACUGUGCACAUCUUGACGGUACCUAAUCAGAAAGCCACGGCUAACUACGUG